UACAGAGGGUGCAAGCGUUAAUCGGAAUUACUGGGCGUAAAGGGUGCGUAGGUGGUUACGUAAGUUAGAUGUGAAAGUCCUGGGCUUAACCUGGGGACGGCGUCUAAUACUGCGAAGCUAGAGUACUGUAGAGGAAAGUGGAAUUUCCGGUGUAGCAGUGAAAUGCGUAGAUAUCGGAAGGAACAUCAGUGGCGAAGGCGACUUUCUGGACAGAUACUGACACUGAGGCACGAAAGCGUGGGUAGCAAACAGG
Molecule: ribosomal RNA, 253 nt
Filed under: uncultured bacterium
Lineage: Bacteria
Description: partial 16S ribosomal RNA
Rfam family: Bacterial small subunit ribosomal RNA
Source: RNAcentral